This 253-nucleotide ribosomal RNA is filed under the name uncultured prokaryote. Its description in RNAcentral is "partial 16S ribosomal RNA". It matches the Rfam family "Bacterial small subunit ribosomal RNA", at positions 525 to 777 of the family's 1533-position model. The record is from RNAcentral.
ACAGAGGGUGCGAGCGUUGUCCGGAAUCACUGGGCGUAAAGGGCGCGUAGGCGGCCUGGUAAGGUCGCGGUGAAAGCCCGGGGCUCAACCUCGGGUCGGCCGUGCGAACUGGGUCACUUGAGCAGAAUAGAGGCAGGUGGAAUUCCGGGUGUAGCGGUGGAAUGCGUAGAGAUCCGGAAGAACACCGGUGGCGAAGGCGGCCUGCUGGGUUCUGGCUGACACUGAGGCGCGACAGCGUGGGGAGCAAACAGGA